RNAcentral lists this ribosomal RNA (492 nucleotides) under uncultured bacterium. RNAcentral's name for it is "partial 16S ribosomal RNA". It matches the Rfam family "Bacterial small subunit ribosomal RNA", at positions 29 to 507 of the family's 1533-position model. The record is from RNAcentral.
AGUGAACGCUGGCGGUAGGCCUAACACAUGCAAGUCGAACGGCAGCACAGUAAGAGCUUGCUCUUACGGGUGGCGAGUGGCGGACGGGUGAGGAAUACAUCGGAAUCUACUUUUUCGUGGGGGAUAACGUAGGGAAACUUACGCUAAUACCGCAUACGACCUACGGGUGAAAGCAGGGGAUCUUCGGACCUUGCGCGAUUGAAUGAGCCGAUGUCGGAUUAGCUAGUUGGCGGGGUAAAGGCCCACCAAGGCGACGAUCCGUAGCUGGUCUGAGAGGAUGAUCAGGCAAAAUGGAACCUAGAACACGUCCAGAACUCCAAGGGGAGGCGCCGGUGGGAAUUUUUGAACAUUGGGCGAAGGCCUAUCCCACCCAUACCGCGUGGGUAAGAAGGGCUUUCGGUUUGUAAGCCCCUUUGUUGGGAAAGAAAAGCAGCAGGUUAAUACCCCGCUGUUCUGACGGUACCCAAAGAAUAAGCACCGGCUAACUUCGUG